Molecule: long non-coding RNA, 9608 nt
Organism: Antechinus flavipes (yellow-footed antechinus)
Lineage: Eukaryota; Metazoa; Chordata; Mammalia; Dasyuromorphia; Dasyuridae
Exons: 3
Source: RefSeq, a predicted model, not a curated record
UAGAAAAAAAUAUUGAGGAAAUGUUUUACAAGUAGUGCUUAAGACCUUAUAAGUUUCUUAGGGAUUUUUGAUUUGAUGCAGCAUAUACUGUCAGGGAAGUAUAAAGAAUAAGGGGACCAAAUAUUUCUGUUAACCAUAUCCCUGUUCCUCUACUCAUCAUUUCCUAAUUCUAUGACCCUACGCAAGUCACUUGCUUUAUAUUUUGCUGUUGUUCAUACUGUAAAAAUCAAAAUAAUUAACUUGCAUGAAAUUGACAGGAAAGUUAAGUUUUUGGUGAUGGAAAGAAAAGGAAAAACACGGUACCAAGAAACCUCACUGAGAAACACUGGUUUUUUACAUUAUUUCAACAUUGUGUAAACUCAAUGAAUCACAAUAUAUUUUCCCCCUGAAGUAAUUGGGGUUAAGUGACUUGCCCAGGGUCACAUAGCUGGGAAAUAUUAAAUAUCUGAGAUCACAUUUGAACUCAGGUCCUCCUGACUUCAGGGCUUGUGUUCUCUCUACUGCACCAACUAGCUGCCUUGCUCACGAUAUUUUUUGUUUUAACAUCUAGAAGGGACUUUAGAGUUUAUCUGUCAGUUAAAUUAGGUUAUGCUGUCUACUGAGGGCAUAGUCUUAUCCUUUUUUAUAAUCCAUACAAUAGAACCAAUCCUAUAGUUAAAUAAACUGAAUAAAACAUGUCUUUAAGCCAAAUUACCCUCCAGACUGCUCUUGAAGAAAUAGUUCAUUCAAAAUAGUUUAGCAGUUUAUAGCUCUAAAGGGAACACUUUAUUACUUACAUUACUCCAUUAAAGGAUUAGACUUCUUAUAUUCUACAUUUAAAUACUUAACAUUUUUGCAAUUAAUUUCAUAUUACAAAAUACUGCCCUACAGUAUUAAUGUUAGUGAUAUGGUGCUUUAACAUCAGAAUAGGGACUUGACAUUUUUUUUUUUUUUUUUUUUUUUACUAUGAUAAGUAACUUAACAAACCUACAACUAAUUCUCAGCUCUAGAGUUAAGUAGAACAAGUCUGUCCCCUUUUCCCACACAGCAGCCCUUUAAAUGUUUCAAAUUACAACUAUUUACAUCCACUCUAAGUCUUCUGUUCUCUAAGAUAAAUAUCCCUAGUUUCUUCAACCAUCUUGGUUGAGCUCCUUUACAUGAAUGCCUUAUGUUAGCUGUACUUUUUGGGACAGCUAAGUGAUGAAGUGGAUAGAAUGCUGGGUCAAAUAGAGAAUAGACUGAAGUAGGAGAGAUUUGAAGUAAGCAGACCCUUCUUCAGGCUAGUGCAAUAGUCCUGGCAUCAGGUGCUAAGGGUCCACACCAGGGUGUCAGUGGAAAGAAGGAAGCAUAUUUCAGCGAUGUUGCCUUUUCCUUGUUAACAGAUUGGAUACAGACAGUGAGAGACAGUGGGGGAUCCAGAACGACUUCCAAGCUGGGAACUUUAGAGACCCUUUAUGGCCAUAGAGAAGGUAAAAGGGGGGAGGAGGGCAUAGAGGGAAAGCCAAUGCGUUCUGUUUUAUUAAGUUUAAAAUGUUUCCUGGACAGCCAAUUUAAGAUGUCUUAAAGGCAGUUAUAGAUGGGAGAGUGGAAGUCAGCAGAGAGGCUGUAAACAGUAGAGGUAGAUUUGAGAAUCAUCCUGAGAGAGACAUUAAUUAAAUUCACAGGGGAACUGAUGAGAUCACCAAGUAAAGUAGUAUAGAGCCAGAGGAGAAGAGAAGAGAGAGCCCUAGACUGAACCCUGAGGACUAAAGUUAGAGAGCAUGAUGUAGAAGAUAAAUCAUCCAAGGAACAGGAGAUCCAGGAGAAAGUGGUAUCUCAAAAACCUAUAGAGAAGAGACUAUUAUAAAAAAGGAGAAAAUGAUAUCGAGAAUCAAAGGCUGUAGAGUGAUGAGGAGAAUGAGGAUUAACAAAGGAUCAACUAAAAAGUUAGCUGGAAUGAUUAACAACUUUGGCAAAAUUAGAGGAUAUAAAAUAAGCCUACAUAGACCAUCAACACUUCCAUGUACUACCUAGGAAACCCAGCAACAAGAGAUAAAUUGCAUUUAAAACAGCUUCAGGCAUUAUGAAAUACCUGGGAGCCUACUUGCCAAGCCAAACUAAGGCAUUAUAUGUAUACAAUUACAAAAUGAUUUUUAUACAAAUAAAGACAUCUAAAUAUUUGGAGAAUUAUUAAUUGCUCAUGAAUAGGCUAAGCCAAUAUAAUAAAAUUGUUAAUUAUGCCUAAAUUAUUUUACUUAUUCAGUGCUAUACCAAACUAUCAAAAAUUAUUUCAUAGAGCUAAAAAAAUAAUAAAAUUCAUCUGGAAGAAUAAAAGGUCAAUAAUAUCAAGGCAAUCGAUGAAAAAAAAGUGAAGAAAGGAAGCUUCAAGGUUCCAGAUUUCAAGCAAUAUUUCAAGUGGUAUUAAUCAAAACAAUCUGGUAUUGGUUAAGAAAUAAGUAGUGGGAUCAGUGGAGUAGAUUAGGAACAUAAUACACAGUAGUAAAUAAUGACCAUGGUAAUCUAGUGUUUGACAAAAUCCAAAAAUUCAAGCUUUUGGAAUAAGAACAUUUGAUAAAAAUUGCUGGGGAAAUCGGACAACAGUUUGUCAGAAACUAGGCAUGAACCAACACCACACUUUGUAUACCAAAAUAAAGUCAAGACUGAAAAAUAAUUUAGACAUAAAGAAUGAUAUCAUAAACUAGGGAGUAUGGAAAAAUGUUCUUGUCAAAUCUAUGCAAAAGGAAAGAGUUUAUGAUUAAACAAAAGAAAGUAAAAUAAUUUUUAUUAUAUGAAAUGUAAAAACUUUUAUCCCAAUGAAACCAAUAUAGCCAAAAUUUGAAGGAAAAUAGAAAACUGGGGGAAAUUUUAUAGCAAGUUUUUCCGAUAAAGGCCUCAUUUCUCAAACAUAUAGGGAACUGAACCAAAUUUAUAAACAUAACAGCCAUUUCCUAGUUGGAAAAUGGUCAAGAAUAUGAACAGGCAGUUUUCAAAAGAAGAAAUCAAAGCUAUCAAUAGUCACCACCGAUUAGAGAAAUGCAAAAGAAAACUUUGACUCAAUCUCAUACUUAUUAGGUUUGCUAAAAUGACAGAAAAGGAAAAUGACAAAUGUUAGAGGGGAUGUGGAAAAAUUGGAAUACCCAUGAGAACAGUGAACUAGUCCAGCCAUUCUGGAAAGCAAGUUGGAGCUAUGUCUAAGAUGCUAUAAAACUGUGUAAUAUUACCACUAGAUCUGUAUCCCAAAAAGAUUAAAGAUUAGGUGUAAAAACUAUUGUAUAAAAGUAUUUAUGGCAACUUUUUUUUUUUUUUUUUUUUGUGGUAUGAAUGAGUUAGUAAUCAAGGGGAUAUCCAUCAACUGGGUAAUGGCAGAAUAAGUUUAAAGUAUGAUUGUAAUGGAAUACUACUGUGCUAUAAGAAAUGAGAAGCAGGACAUUUCAGAAAAACCUAGGAAGACUUAUAUAAUGUCAUGAAAUGUGUAGUGAGCAGAAUAAGGAGAACUCUUAGCACAAUAACAGCAACAUUGUAAGGAUAAUCAACUAUGAAAAACUGAGCUACUCUGAUUACAGCAACGAUUCAAGAUAUUUCCAAAGAUACCAUGAUGAAAAAUGCUGUGGUGAGACAGAAUGAACUCUGAAUGCAAAUUAAAGCAUACUUUCUUUAAAUUUUUUCUUGUUUUUACUUUUCUGUAUUUUCUUUUGCAGCAUGGCUAAUAUGAAAAUUUGUUUAGCGUGAUACUUCACCUGUGUAAUUGAAAUCAAGUUAUCUACCUGCUCAAGGCAAAGAGGAGGGGAGAGAAUUUGGAACUCAAUAUUUUUAUAUAAAUCCUUCUAAAACAUCUCACUUCCCAGCUUCCUUUUGGAUAUUUUCUACCCCAUUAAAAUACAAGUUCCUUGAAGACAAUGUGAACCUGAAAAGUCUGGAAGUUCUACUAGCAGUUGGAAUUAAAUAAUAGCAGAGGAGGAAUUUCUAGUGAUUAUCCAGCAUAUUUGAAGAAGAUAACCAUUAAUAAGAGGAUUAAGUCUGGCUGCAUCUUUUUAGUGUCAAAUGAAGGUGAAAAAUAAAAUGUCUGAUCAGUAGACCUGCAAACUGCUUCAUGCCCAUCUAUUCAUUCAUUCAGUUAGUUAAUAGUUUCCUCUAGUUAUAUUUAACACAAGUUUUUUAUAUUUGUUUUUCAAAAUGUUGUGUUCCGGGGCAGCUAGUUAGUGUAGUGGAUGGAGCCCUGAAAUCAAUUCAUAUCUGACCUCAGACUGGUAACAAUUCCUAUUUGUGUGACCCUGGGCAAGUCACUUAAUCCCAAUUGCCUCAGAAAAGAAAAAAAAUGGAGUUCCAGACUUUCCCUUAUCCCUACUUCCAGUCACCAUUAAGAAACCACAUGUGAAGUUAUGCAAAACAUUUUUAUAAAAGUAAUGGUGUGAAAGAAAACAUAGAUCUCCUACCCUAAUAAAAACCCAAAACAAAACAAACAAACAAACAAAAAAAAAAAAACAGAGAAAGAGAGAGAGAGACAGAGACAGAGAGACAAAGAGGAAGGAGGGAGAAAUGGAGGGAGAGAGGAAUGUUUCAAUCUAUAUCCAGACACAAUCAGUUCCCUCUCUGAGUAUGGAAAGGAUUUUUCAUCAUAAGUCCUUCAGAGUAGUACAGCUGAGAAUAGCUAAGUCAUUCACAGCUGAUCAUCCUACAACACUAUUAUCUUGUAUACAGAACAUUUUACUUUGCUUGAGUUCAUGGAGGAUUUUCCAGGUUUUUUCUGAUAGCAUUCUUCUCAUCAGUUCCCCAAAAUCAAUAACAUUCCAUCAUAAUAUCAUAAUUUCCAACUCUCUGCUCUGAGAAAAGAGCUGCUAUAAAUUUCCAUACACAUAGGACCCUUUCCUUUUCCUUAAAUUUCCCUUAGGAUUCAUGUCCAGCAGUGGUAUUAUUAGGUCAAAGGAUAUGCAUGAAUUUAUAGCCCUUUGGGCAUAGAUGUUAUUUUUUGAUUAUCAAUUGUGGCAUGGCUCUUAUUUUUUAUAACUUUUACUCAGUUCCUUCUAUGUUUGAAAAAUGAGACCUAAUCAGAGAAACUUGCUUCAAAAUUCUUUUUAUAAUUACUAUUACUAAUUGUAUUUCCCCCCAUUUAUUCUAUUUUCCUUUCAUCUUGUCCCUCCUCAAAAGUGUUUUGCUUCUGACCACUCCCUCCCCCAAUAUGCUCUCUCUUUCAUCACCUUCCCCCCUUCCCAUACUCAUUCCCUUUUCAUUUUCCUUCAGGGUAAGAUAGAUUUCUAUACGCAUGAGUUUAAACAUUAUUUCCUUUUUGAGCCAAUUCUGAUCAGAGUAAGGUUCACUCACCCUCUCUUCCCCUACACUAAAUGCUUUUUCUUGUCUCUUUUUAUGGCAAAUAAUUCACAUCAUUCCACUCUUCCCUUUUCCUUUCUCCCAGUACAUUCCUCUCCCAUUAAUUUAAAUUUUUUGGUAGAUAUUAUUCUUUCAUAUUCAACUCACAUCCGUGCCUUCUAUUUAUACUCCUCUUAAUUACCAAAAUAAAGAAAAAGCUCUAAUGAGUUACAAGUAUCAUACUCUCAUGUAGGAAUGCAAACAAACAAACCAAAAAAACCUUAUGAAGUCCCUUAUGAUAUCACUUUACUGAUUACCUUCUUAUGCUUCUACUAAGUCAAGUUUUCUAUUCAGCUCUGGUCUUUUCAUCAUGAAUGCUUGAAAACCUAUUUCAUUGAAUUUCCACCUUUUCCUCUAAAGGAUUAAAGUCAGCUUUUUUGGUUUGUUUUUGUUGUUUUUUCUUGGUUGUAAUCCUAGCUCCAUUGCUCUCUAGAAUAUAUUCCAAGAUCUCUGGUUCUUUAAUGUAAAUGUUGCUAAAUUUUGUGUUAUCCCUACUGUCCUUAUCUCCUUACUCACUAUAUUUGAAUUGUUUUUUCUUGCAACAUUUUCUCCUUGACUAGGAGUUCCAAAAUUUGGUUAUUAUAUUCCUAGGAGUUUUCCUUUUAGGAUCUCUUUCAGGCGGUGAUGGGUAGACUCUUUCAAUGUCCAAUUUACUCUCUGGUUCUACAAUAUCAGGAUAGUUUUCUUUGAUUUUUUGAAAGAUGGUAUUUGUUUGUUUGUUUGUUUGUUUUUGAUUAUGACUUUCAGGUAGACCAGUAAUUUUUAAAAUGAUAUAUCUUGGAUCUAUUUUCUAGGUCAGUUGUUUUCCAAUGAGAUAGUUCACAUUUUCCCCCUAUUUUUUUCCUUUUUCUUUUGCUUUAUUGUAUUUUGAUUUCUCAUAAAGUCAUUAGUUUCUAUUUGCUCACUUCUAAUUUUUAAGGAAUUAUUUUCCUCAGCUUUUGUAUCUCUUUUCCCAUUUGGCCAAUUUUGCUUUUAAAGGCAUUCUUUUCCUUGUUAACUUUUUGUAUUUCUUUUUGCACCACUCAAUUCUUUCCCUAUUUUUUCCUCUAUUUCUCUUAUUUGAUUUUCAGAAUCCCUUUGGAGCUCUUCCAUAGUCUGAGACCAAUUCUAAGAGGAAGCUCUGGAUGUAGGAAUUUUUAAUUUUGUUAUAUUCUUGUAUGUGUUUUGACUUCCUUGUCAUCAUAGUAACUUUUUACGGUCAGAAACUUUUUCUGUUGUCUGCUCAUUUUGGCUUUUAACUCUUUAUUAAAGUUGGGCUCUGUUUCUAGGAUGGAGGAUGCACUGUCCUAAACUUCAAGGGUUUUAUAUAGCUGUUUUCAGAGCUCCUUCUAGGGUCCUGAUCACAAGCCCUCUUUUCUGCUCUGGAGCUGUUAGGAGUGUCCCUGCCCUGCUAUAUCUGUAAGAUCUAGUGUGCAGAAGAGACUUCCUUUGCUGGCACUGGGGCCGGGCUAUGUUGGGAUUGCAUGAAAGAUCUGUUGCCACGGAUCUUUUCUGUUGACCUUCCUCUUCAGUGUCUGAACUGAGAGGUCUGGAAGCCACCAACACCUGCUGAUUCAAAGGUCCCUUGAUCUGUUCCUGCUUAGCUGGGGUGGGACCAGGACUGGAGCUGCCCUGGCACAGCCUGCACCAGACCUGCAUGCUAUGGUGUCAUAGAGCUUUUUUGCUACCUUCUAAGUUGUCUUCAGCUGGAAAAGGUUCUACUCUAUCUUUUGGGGUGUUCUGAUGCUCUAAAAUUUGCUUAUUUAAAGGAAUUUGAAGUGGUUUGGGGGAGAGGUUGGGAGAGUUCCUGCCUUUACUCUACCAUCUUGGUUCUGUCUCACUGCUUUAUGUUCAAAUGAUGUUUAAGUAUUUUGCUUUAUGACAAGUUCUUUUUUUUGUUUGCGUUUUCCCUCUACAAGUUAUUCCUUAUAAAUUAAAUGAAUUCCAUAUUAAUCAUGUUAAUAUGUGCUGUGAUUCUCUUAUGCUUAGCAUUGCUUUCAUAUCAUAUACCAAAUACCUCUUGGAUUCCUCUUUUUCCCCCCAAUAGUUUAAGUUGUAAGCUAUUUUUUCUAUAGGAUCCUGGGUGGGUAGCACGAUGGAAUGAAACAAGUGGGAAAGGAACCUAGUCCUCAUUAGAGAGUGAGAGCCUUAUGUCUGAUCUGGAUCCAAACCACAUGUCUACAUUCAGGACCAAGAGGAACAAAUGUCCUACCCCCUGUGGAUUCAUCUGAACAGCUCCUCAGAUUUUCUUCAAUAUUCUCCAUAAAAAAAGAAACUAAAUUAUCUGCUCUAAAUCAGUGGGAGAGGGAAAAGGAUACAAAGCAGUAAGUAGGGGGGAGUUAAGACUAUAAUGAAAAUUUGAGAGAAUAAUAGUUUAAAGUCACUUUGGAGAAUAAAAUUGAGUCAGUAAAUAUUGAAAACAACAGCUCAGCUGAAAUAUAAAUAUGACAUAAGCUUAUGACGUACCUAGGUAGCUAGCUCAAUGGAUGAAGUGCUGGAUCUAGUGCGAGGAAAACCUAAAUUCAAAUCCAACCUCAGACAGUAAUAGAAUAAUCAUGGACAAUUUACUUAACCUCAGUUUGCCUUAAUCCAUUGGGGAAGAUGCUAAAUCAGUACCUUUGCCAAAAGAACACUAUGGCCAGUAUUAGUGUACUAUAGUCCACGGGGUCACAGAAGAGCAGAGUAAUCUCUUUUCUUUUAGCAAUCUGAAGAACACACAAUCUGAUAGUGAGUUAUUCAGGGUUGAGGAUGAGAUGAAGAUUAGGGACAAAAAGCUCUCUAAGAACAUAAAAGUGGAAAAUCUGGGGGUCAAAUUUAGUUGUAAAACAAGUGAAAUUGGAAUGGGGAAAAUGGGCUAGGAAAAUAAGGACCUGCAAUAUAAGUAGAAAGAAUCAUGUUUAAGGUGUAUGAGUGAGACAGUAAAUUAUAGUAUAAGGGUGGUAUUGUAAAGUUUAGGUUUGGCCAUUGAAGAAUGGUAGAAUUGGAGAUUGCCAGAACUAAGGAAGCUGAAGAAUUUCAUCAUUCAAGUACUAUUCAAGGUAAUUGAAGUGAGAAUUAAGAUCCCAAAGGAUAAAGAUUAGAGUGUAAAAGGGAGAAAAAUCUAAGAAGACUGGCAAGAUAGGAAAGAUCCAGGUUGUAAAAAUGUCAAAUAGGAUUUUUUAUCUCAGGAAGUAGAAUAUAUGGAGAAGAAUGACAUGAUUAGACCAUCAUUUUAGGAAGCUAAGCUUGGAAGAUCAGGUGGAAGCUAUAUGGGGAGAAACAAAACCAAUCAGCAGGCUACUAUAUAAGUCCAAGCAUGAGAUGAUGAGGACCUUUACCAGGGUUACUAGAAUAAGUAGAAAGCAGCAUAUAAGAGAGAAGAGAGGAUAGAAAGUAGGACUUGGAAAAAUUGGAUGUGUGGGAAUGUGUGGGGUGUGUUUCAGAGAGAAGUUAAGAAUUUCACUUAAGUUGAGUUUUCAUAUGAAAAUAAAUGUCCAUUCUUUUGUUAUUCUUCAAAUGGAACUUCUUCUGGUUGAUCAGAAUAACUUUAAGAGGAGCAUGCGAGAAAUGAAUUAUUUUGGUAAAUGGUUGUUAUAAGUAGGCAAAGAAAAAAUCAAGUGAAGCUUAACAUAUGUAAAGAGUAAAGGACAAAAUAUCUCAUAAAAAGGCAAGGAUAUGAGCUUUAAAAGGAGAUUUUGCCAUAAAACUAUACUGUGUUAAGUUUUUUUUUUUAAUUUUUGUUAUAUGUUUAUGAAAUACAAUUUUGGAAUCUUUUAAUCAAUUUUUUUUUUUUUUUGCUAAGGUAUUUAAAGAUUACGUGUUGUCACAGGAAGUAUGCUUAAAAUAUAUGUAGUAAGAUAACCUCAUAGCAGUAGAAGGAAAUAAGCACAGCAUGUAUAAUCCUAUAAUGCAGUUAAAUUUCCACCAGUUUGUAGUCAUUUUAUUAUCUAUGCCACCUUACAGACUAUUUUAUACACUGAUAAACAGUGCUUGGUACAGUAUUGAGCAUUAGAAAUAAGCUGAUAAAUGCAUGUUGCUUUGACUAUAUAUUAUACUUCUUGUACAUAAAAGGUACUCAAAACAAUAUUUUUAAAUCUUCUUUCAAAAUCCAUUUUAUAUUAAACUAUUAAGCACAGAAGAUAGGUGAGAUAAAGAACAGCAUUAUGCAGAAUAAUUUGAAGUAUUAGUUUUUACUAAUUAAAAAAGGCUAUAUGCUGGUCUUGUUUUAGGACACUAGCAAUACUAGUAUAUGAUCUUUAUUAAACAAACUUAAUAUAUCAUUUUAUUUUAUUAUUCUUCUAAAGUGUAUUUAGUUAUAAUAACCUUAA